ACGAACGCUGGCGGCGUGCUUAACACAUGCCAGUCGAACGGUAAGGCCCCUUCGGGGGUACACGAGUGGCGAACGGGUGAGUAACACGUGAGCAACCUGCCCUUGACUCUGGACUAACAGUUGGAACCAGCUGCUAAUACUGGAUAUUCAUCGUCUCCUUCCUGGGGGGUGGUGGAAAGCUCCGGCGGUCAGGGAUGGGCUCGCGGCCUAUCAGCUUGUUGGUGAGGUAAUGGCUCACCAAGGCUUCGACGGGUAGCCGGCCUGAGAGGGCGACCGGCCACACUGGGACUGAGAUACGGCCCAGACUCCUACGGGAGGCAGCAGUGGGGAAUAUUGCACAAUGGGCGCAAGCCUGAUGCAGCAACGCCGCGUGCGGGAUGACGGCCUUCGGGUUGUAAACCGCUUUCAGUAGGGACGAAGGGUGACUGACGGUACCUACAGAAGAAGGACCGGCUAACUACGUG
Molecule: ribosomal RNA, 464 nt
Filed under: uncultured bacterium
Lineage: Bacteria
Description: partial 16S ribosomal RNA
Rfam family: Bacterial small subunit ribosomal RNA
Source: RNAcentral